CCGUGCUAGAUGGGGAGUUAGCGGUGCCCUGUUGCCUGCAAACCGCUAUAGCAGGAUCGAUGCUUAUGCUAGGGUAUUAUCGGAUAGAUAUGGUAGACUGAGCGGUGUUGAUAAUCUCAACCUGUUGCAACAUUAACUGAGUGAACCCCGUCAGGCCUGGAAGGGAGCAGCGGUAAGCUUUUUUUUCUGUGUGCUUGCAGUUAAUUGAGUUUGAGCUGGCAA
RNAcentral lists this signal recognition particle RNA (222 nucleotides) under marine eukaryotic metagenome. RNAcentral describes it as "Bacterial large signal recognition particle RNA". It matches the Rfam family "Bacterial large signal recognition particle RNA", at positions 1 to 218 of the family's 256-position model. From Rfam's summary of the family: The signal recognition particle (SRP) is a universally conserved ribonucleoprotein involved in the co-translational targeting of proteins to membranes. Archaeal SRP consists of a 7S RNA and homologues of the eukaryotic SRP19 and SRP54 proteins. In most bacteria, the SRP consists of a 4.5S RNA and the Ffh protein (a homologue of the eukaryotic SRP54 protein). The record is from RNAcentral.